Molecule: transfer RNA, 73 nt
Filed under: Spiribacter salinus M19-40
Lineage: Bacteria; Pseudomonadati; Pseudomonadota; Gammaproteobacteria; Chromatiales; Ectothiorhodospiraceae
Rfam family: tRNA
About the family: Transfer RNA (tRNA) molecules are approximately 80 nucleotides in length. Their secondary structure includes four short double-helical elements and three loops (D, anti-codon, and T loops). Further hydrogen bonds mediate the characteristic L-shaped molecular structure. tRNAs have two regions of fundamental functional importance: the anti-codon, which is responsible for specific mRNA codon recognition, and the 3' end, to which the tRNAs corresponding amino acid is attached (by aminoacyl-tRNA synthetases). tRNAs cope with the degeneracy of the genetic code in two manners: having more than one tRNA (with a specific anti-codon) for a particular amino acid; and 'wobble' base-pairing, i.e. permitting non-standard base-pairing at the 3rd anti-codon position.
Source: Rfam by way of RNAcentral
GCCGGCGUAGCUCAGUUGGUAGAGCAACGCAUUCGUAAUGCGUAGGUCCGCGGUUCGAAUCCGUGCGCCGGCA